CGUAGGUGACCUGCGGAAGGAUCAUUAC
RNAcentral lists this ribosomal RNA (28 nucleotides) under Cetrelia chicitae. RNAcentral's name for it is "partial 18S ribosomal RNA". Lineage: Eukaryota; Fungi; Ascomycota; Lecanoromycetes; Lecanorales; Parmeliaceae. The record is from RNAcentral.